GGGGGAUGUGCUCUGCUGAUAUUAUUGCUUUGGUGAAGGAUUGUGUUUUAACUGCUUCUCUUCCUGAGAGUAUCAAUGAGACGUUGAUUGCUUUGGUGCCUAAAGUUGAGAGACCUGUUUCCAUGUCUCAGCUUUGCCCCAUCAGUCUUUGCAACACCAUCUAUAAAGUGAUUUCCAAGAUUCUUGUUGCUCGGCUUCGACCUUGUAUGGCCAAUUUGGUUAGUCCUAAUCAAGUGAGCUUUGUCCCAGGGAGACAAAUUGUUGAUAAUAUUGUUGUGGCCCAAGAAAUGCUGCAUAAGUUUAAAAAUUCUAAAGGGAGCAAGGGUUUCAUUGCUUGGAAAAUUGACUUAUCCAAAGCUUAUGAUCGGUUAAAUUGGGAUUUCAUUAGAGAAGUGCUUUGGGAGGUUGGGAUUCGUGGGAGAAUUCUUGAGCUUUUAAUGCAGUGUAUUAACUCUGUGUGUUAUAAGGUGAUUCUCAAUGGUGAAUUAACUGAUUCUUUCUCUCCUAAAUGUGGCAUUCGGCAAGGGGACCCUCUUUCCCCAUAUCUCUUUGUUUUGUGCAUGGAAAAGCUUUCUCAUAUUAUCCAGUAGGCUGUUCAAGACAAGACUUGGAAACUAGUGCAGAUCUGGGAAAGUGGUCCUUUUAUCUCUCAUCUCUUUUUUGCGGAUGAUUUGAUUCUCUUCGGAAAAGCUUCUGUCAAUCAAGCUAUUGUUAUGAAGAAAUGUUUAGAUGAUUUUUGUAGUCUCUCCGG
RNAcentral lists this long non-coding RNA (751 nucleotides) under Prunus dulcis (almond). RNAcentral describes it as "sRNA ncRNA". Lineage: Eukaryota; Viridiplantae; Streptophyta; Magnoliopsida; Rosales; Rosaceae. The record is from RNAcentral.